This is a long non-coding RNA of Rana temporaria (common frog), 1552 nucleotides long. RefSeq lists it as uncharacterized. The record is from RefSeq and is a predicted model, not a curated record. Lineage: Eukaryota; Metazoa; Chordata; Amphibia; Anura; Ranidae. The transcript has 2 exons.
UUAAGACAUACAUGCUCUUUGAUCUCUCAUUUAUUAAUGUUAAAUACAUUAAGACUGAUCAUCAUCCAUCUUCUUGUUUAUUAAUGUCCAUCCUUGGGGCACUUUUACACUGAUAUGUUUUUCCUUGCAAGAAAAAGGUUUCCCUUUUUAAACCCUAUGGGAUUUUUCACACCACUGCAUUACAGAUGCAGUGCGUUUUGAAAAGUCCUGCAUGCUGCAUCUUUGGUGCAGUUUUGAAAACUGCACAAAAAACGCAGCUUCCCAUUGAAAUGAAUGGCAAUUGUGGUAAAAACGCACUGCGAUUUUGUGUGUUUGGUGCUUUUUUGAGUCGCAUGUCUACCUUUCACAGGUGCAGGCAACUUAGAAAUGCACAGCAAACACAUCUGAAGCACAGCAAAAUUGUCGUAAAAACGCAUAUGCAUUUUUAACACGAUUUUGCGACAGAGCAGUGUGAAAGGACUCCAAGUCCCAGCAAUGCUACUUUUGAUUUCAAACUAUACUGACAAUCUGUAUGCUGUGUUUUUUUUUUUGUAUUGUUUCACUGGUCGAAUGUUGCAGCCAUUUUCAUUGUUGCAUAAAAAAAAAUUAUCAAACGGUAAAUAAGAUUAUACCAGUAGUAUUGGCUAAGGCAGAUUUGCAUUAAUUAGUGUCCUGCAUUAAUUAUCUUGCAUGUGAAGAAAAUGGAGAACUAUUAACAUCCCUCAAGGUGUUUUGCACUGCUGUUCUGUUUUUUCGUUUUUUUUUUUUUUUUUUUUCUUUAAGGCACCAGCCUUUUGCUGUUUGUUUAGGCUCCGUUCACAUCUAGGCGUUGCUAUUUUCCAGGCGUUUUUUUUUUGGCGCUUUUGCACAGGCGUUUUGAAGUUCAAAAUGUUACCAAUGUAAAAGCAGUAAAACGCCUGUAAUCUGCCAAAAAACAAGCUCCUGUACUUUUUUGAGCAACAGGCGUUUUGCUUUCGGCGAUACAGAACGCUCAGAUGUGAACAGGGGUCAUAGAAAUCGAUAGGAUUUGUCUUGUUGGGUGUUUUUAGAGCUGAGGCUUGGAGCAGAAAAACAACCAAAAAUGCCAAGAUGUGAAUAGAACCUAAGAGAAGACCUGGCAUGUCUUAUUUAAUUGGACUAUCCAAAUUAUAACAUACCGUUUUCAAACCUUUAAUGCAGUGGCUUUAACCAGUGACCAGGACUGCUCUGCUCAUUACUGGGUGCCUUUUCCACUAUCAAAAUGUUGCUGUCUAUAGACAUACUAUCAGCCUGAUGCAUGGACUAGAGGAAAAAAUGGAGGCGGUAUGCUGGCUUCACACAGUCAGAUUUUGUUCCAAAUUUUUUAAUUAUAGUAGACUUAUCCUAGAAAAAAAGAUCUCUACCACCACUUCUGGUUCUCGGACAUAAGGACUUAAUUAAGUAAAAAUGGCAAAAAAAUUUAUCUUUUUGACGCCACAUCUCUCAAUAAAGAUGACCUGUCAUGUUCCUUUCUAUUGCAAGGAAUAUUUACAUUUCUUAUAAUACAAAUAAAAGUGAUCAAAACAAAUAAAGGGACAGUGUAAAAAAAAAAAAA